CCUAAGCAGUGGGGAGAAAAAAGAGAAAAAGUUAAGGCUUAUACUGUCAUAUGGUUUAUUUGGUACUGGAGAGAGAGAAUUUAAACUGAGGCAUAGUAGCUCAUACUUCUAACCCCAGCACUUUGGGAGGGUGAGGCAAGGAGACCACCUUAUUGAGGUUCUAGAUCAAUGUGGGCUACAUGGGCUUCAUCUCAACACUUCCAAAACAGUAAAGGAGUUUAAAAGACACACACCCCAAAAUACGAAAGGACAUUCAGAGAGAAACCUAUGGCUUCUUCCCGGGGUGCCUGUACAUCCACACACACUGAGGGCUAAGGAGUGUGUGGACCUAGCAAGCAGCAUGGCAACGAAGCAGCAGAGCAGCUCUGGCACCACACACUGACUCAAUCAGCCAGAGUCUAAGUUCUCCAAUCACGCUGGUCAGGUGUUCUAAAAAUGCCAAACAAGCACCGUCACCAGUCUGGCUUUUGCCAUCAGAAUGGACAUGGGAGCCAUCAGUACUCCAUUUGUGCUUGUUUUAUUUUAGACAGGAUCAUGUUAUGUAGCCUAGGAUAGUCUUGAACUCAAAGAUCAACCAUCUCUGCUCAAAAGUCCUGGGGCUAAGAAGGGAAUGGCACCAAGCCUGUCCCAGCAUUUCAUCUGUAACUGCUGACUCACUGUAUUAUACAAGUUCAUCGACCCAGUUAACGGUUGAAGAGCUUCUGACCAAUCUACAGUAAUACGAGAAACGCAGAUGUGAGUAUUUUCACACGGGCUUCUUCAUGAGUUAUCUCUUGAAUGACACAGAAGUUAAAUAUGUGUUUAGUAUUGUUCAAAACUGUCAGCUGUUCUUAAAAGUGGACUUUUAGACUUAGCUUUCAAGUUUACAGUUUACUGUUAAAGUGGCCAUUCAAAUCUUUUAUAUGCUUUUAUAAGGAGGUGUUAGGUUUCCAAUUGUUGAAUAAAAGGCUUUAAUAGACCUCGGAUAGUCUUCAUAAAAUAUGAACUAGGAAGGUGUAAAUUCUCCUUCCUUUAUGGUUUCCAUGUUAUUACACAUUUAUGUGUCCUUGGCAUCCACAAUGUCACAGGACACAUGUGAAGGUCAAAGGGUAACUUGGCAAAGUUAGUUCUCUCCCGCCAUGUGGGUAUCAGGGGCUGAACUCAGGUUAUCAGGUUUGGAGGCAAGUUCCUUAAUUCACUGAGCCAUCUUGCCAGACCCUUAAUUAUACUUUUAGAGACAUAUCUGAAAACUCCCCACCUAACACAUUUUCUCCUAUUUUUCUCUUAAAGUUUUGACAUCUAAUAUUUAGAACUAAGAUCUAUUUUGAAUUAAUAAAAAUGGGGAUAAGGACAAGUUUCUGCAUAGGGACAUUCAAUCGUUUAACAUUUGUUCAAAAUAAUCUACAUAUACUGCAUCCAUUGAAUUUCCCUCUAUAAAGGAGAAUAAAGUCACUCUCAUGUGCAGGUGCUGCUCUGCUCAUCUCCUUUCCACCCAUGUGCCAAUCACUGAUCCAAUAUAACACUACAAUGAUCCUUGGGGCUCUAGACUGUGUUUUAAAUUUUUAUUUAGAGUAAAUCUUGUUAUCAGGUAACUUGAGGCUUCCAAAUUACUGUUUUCAAAAACAUUCUUGGGAAGGCUGGACGGAGGCUCAGUGGUUAUGAGCACCCGCUGUUCUUGCACAGGAGUGGGGUCUAGUCCUCAGGACCACAUGGCAGCUUAUAACCAUCCAUAACUCUACUUCCAAAGGACCUGAUGCCUUUUCCUGACCUCUGUGGGCACCAGGCACCACACAUGCACAUGUACAUAUAUACAGUUAACAACACUCAUACACCGUGUGUGUGUGUGUGUGUGUGUGUGUGUGUGUGUGUGUGUCCAAGGCAGGGGACUAUGUAGCUCUGGCUGUCUUGGAACAGAGCAGACUGGCUUUGACUCAUUUGCUUCCCAAGUGCUAGAAUUAAACAUGUCCACAACACGCCCAGCUUAAAUAAACCUUAAAAGGUUUUAAAGCAAUCACUUUGGCUAGUCUAAGUCAACCUUUUCACGUCUGUGUUUUAGAAACAGGAAGCAGAGCACUGUAAAGUGUCAUUCUGUAAUUUCAACUGAGAUCCCACUGAAUCCAUGGGUAAAUUAACCCAAUUUAGGGAAAGCUUCACAGUCUCGAGUCUUGGGGGUAACAGUAUGUUUUAUACAGUCAUUGUUUUGAUUUAUUCUUUGCUGUUUUACAAUUUUCAGAUUUACAAGUAAUAGAUUUAUAAUGCUUCCACUUUCUUUUGUGGAUUGGCUUAAUAAAUGUUACUGCUCGAGUGUUUGUUUUUUUUUUCUGCAGCAGCAAAUAGCUGGCACAAAAACACAACGGAUGUUUACAUCCUGAUCAUCUAUCUGUUACUUACAGCCCUGGUAACCUCAUCCUUAGCGCUACAUCUGUCUUGGUGAAGAAGAUGCCACAGCAUUUUUCUAUGUUGAUGACCAUAACCUGCAGAGGCAGCUUCCUAGCCUCUUUGCAGUCUGCCUGCCAUACACUAGGACAUCACAGCAUGACACUCAAUGAGUAUGGGCUGCUCUUCAAACCUGACACUGCAGCACAUCAGAAAGCCCAACUCUGUCCCAGCUGAUGUGAGCAAGCAUACAGUACCACUAAGAAGCUGCCAAGCUGUGGAAUCUAAGAAAUUACAGAAUAAAAGCACACUGUUUACCAACA
This is a long non-coding RNA of Mus musculus (house mouse), 2678 nucleotides long. RefSeq annotates it as predicted gene, 34448. Lineage: Eukaryota; Metazoa; Chordata; Mammalia; Rodentia; Muridae. The record is from RefSeq and is a predicted model, not a curated record. The transcript has 2 exons.